This 49-nucleotide ribosomal RNA is filed under the name Tetrahymena sp. DLTH182-08. RNAcentral's name for it is "partial 26S ribosomal RNA". The record is from RNAcentral. RNAcentral also lists the same sequence under 2 other names. Lineage: Eukaryota; Ciliophora; Oligohymenophorea; Hymenostomatida; Tetrahymenidae.
CUACACCUGAAACAAGCAAGAUUACCCGCUGAACUUAAGCAUAUCAGUA